CUUUGGUUUUGGUGGUGGGCACCUGUAAUUCCAGUUACUUUGGGAGGCUGAGGCAGGAAAGAAGUUAUUGAUACAAAUAUUUGCAAAAAUAAAAAGUUAUUUGAUACCCACAAAUAAUUCCAAAGUAUGUCCAUGUGCUAAUUUGUAAAUAGGAAGGAAGUUCUUAUUUUGAAACUUGCAGCCUGGAAAAUAUUUAUAAGGUUGUUAUGACAUUGAUAACUGGAGUACUUCCUAUAUCAACUUACUAGAAUUUUGGAGACUGACUUUAAAAUAUAAUAAAAAGGGAAAGACAGGGAAUUGAACUUCCUUCUCAUGUUUUUUACAAAUUUUACAGGGAGCCAGUCUCAUUUAUGUAAUCACAGAUUUAUUUUACAAGUUUGGACUUGCAAAAAUAUGCCAAAAUUUGAAUGCCUUACCCAUUUUUUUGGGAAGCAGCUAAAAUAUGUAAUGCACUGACCUUUUAAUGUUCACUUUGAUUGGUUAAUGGUUACACCUUUACAGCUCAGUCAGAUUGUAAACAAGGGGACAAAACUGAAUAUAUAAGGUCAGAGAAGUAUAGUGACAAAAUUUAUGAACCCCUAUACAUUUCCUAUGAAUAAAAAAUGAUUAAAAUUCAUACGUUUGCUUUUUAAAUAUAUACAUAAGAAACAUCAAAAAUUAAUUCAAAGCAUAUAUUAGCAAAUAUAUUCUUAAUUUUGUCUUGAAUAACCUUCUUUAGGUGUGCCUUUUUCUACAAAGUUAUGUCUUCAUUAAACAUUUUUCAAAUUAUUAGUAUUAUUAUUUUUAACUGAUGCUUCAUAUUUUAUUUCCCCUCUGCUCUCCCAUCCCACCUUUGGUGAUGGUUGUGCCCAUCUGAGCAUUUCGGGGCACAUGACCGUAAGUAAAUCUUGAGAGAGGAGUGGAAUUAUUGUCUAAACACUAACAGAAGGGG
Molecule: long non-coding RNA, 931 nt
Filed under: Homo sapiens (human)
Lineage: Eukaryota; Metazoa; Chordata; Mammalia; Primates; Hominidae
Description: HSALNT0217882
Source: RNAcentral